This 354-nucleotide ribosomal RNA is filed under the name uncultured bacterium. RNAcentral describes it as "bacterial SSU rRNA". It matches the Rfam family "Bacterial small subunit ribosomal RNA", at positions 29 to 410 of the family's 1533-position model. The record is from RNAcentral.
AACGAACGCUGGCGGCAUGCCUAACACAUGCAAGUCGAACGAGACCUUCGGGUCUAGUGGCGCACGGGUGCGUAACGCGUGGGAAUCUGCCCUGGGGUGCGGAAUAACUCGGAGAAAUCCGUGCUAAUACCGCAUAAUGUCUUCGGACCAAAGAUUUAUCGCCCUGGGAUGAGCCCGCGUAGGAUUAGCUAGUUGGUGGGGUAAAGGCCUACCAAGGCGACGAUCCUUAGCUGGUCUGAGAGGAUGAUCAGCCACACUGGGACUGAGACACGGCCCAGACUCCUACGGGAGGCAGCAGUGGGGAAUAUUAGACAAUGGGCGAAAGCCUGAUCCAGCAAUGCCGCGUGAGUGAUG